GCUGCUUUAUGAUGUAGUUCUCUCUUUGGUAAAUGUGUUAUUCUGUAGCUCGGUUUGCUGAUGGUGCUUCAAUUUUGAUCUAUGAAACGCAAUGCAGGUUUGCUCAUGUUGGUUUAGCCUUACUGACCACACUGGAUAUGAUUCUAGUACCUUGAAUCAAUGUGCCGUUUGGAAUAUCAGAUAAGGUUAUGGUUUUGAGUUGAUCAGCUCUUGCCGAUGCAAUUAAUCAACUCAAGUUCAUGCCUUUCUUGAUUCUAUCUGGACAGUUGUGCUCGCCUGGAAUCGAAGGGACUCUAUUUGCACUUUUCAUGUCAAUCAACAAUCUUGGAUCCGUGCUGGGUUCAUUUCUAGGCGCCGGCUUGGCUUCAUUCUUGAACAUCCACUCCGGUUCUUUCGGCAACCUCCUUCUAGGAAUUGCUAUCCAAGUCGCCUGCUUAUUCGUGCCAGUUGCUUUGCUAUUCUUGAUACCGAAAGACGCCACAGGGAUUUCGGCAUAGAAGUAGAUUAUAUUUUCAACAGAGUUGCAGAGAAGAAAUUAGGACAGAUCAGGGGAGAACUUUGUUCCUUCAGGUCUCUCUCCUGUAUGGCAGUUUACAGGUAGAUUUUCAAUAUACAAGUCCAUUAAGCGGUAGAUACGUCAUAGCAGUCAAAUGGAAGAUGUUCUUGUACUUUUUUCUAUGGAAUGGAAAAAUUCCUUGUGCUUCCUUAAACGUGUCCUUCGAAAUAUAGUGAUUUCAUGUGGUUA
Molecule: long non-coding RNA, 745 nt
Organism: Rhodamnia argentea
Lineage: Eukaryota; Viridiplantae; Streptophyta; Magnoliopsida; Myrtales; Myrtaceae
Exons: 2
Source: RefSeq, a predicted model, not a curated record